RNAcentral lists this ribosomal RNA (460 nucleotides) under uncultured bacterium. Its description in RNAcentral is "partial 16S ribosomal RNA". It matches the Rfam family "Bacterial small subunit ribosomal RNA", at positions 338 to 795 of the family's 1533-position model. The record is from RNAcentral.
CCUACGGGUGGCAGCAGUGAGGAAUAUUGGUCAAUGGACGAGAGUCUGAACCAGCCAAGUAGCGUGAAGGAUGACUGCCCUAUGGGUUGUAAACUUCUUUUAUAUGGGACUAAAAUGUUCCACGUGUGGGAUUUUGUAUGUACCAUAUGAAUAAGGAUCGGCUAACUCCGUGCCAGCAGCCGCGGUAAUACGGAGGAUCCGAGCGUUAUCCGGAUUUAUUGGGUUUAAAGGGAGCGUAGGUGGAUUGUUAAGUCAGUUGUGAAAGUUUGCGGCUCAACCGUAAAAUUGCAGUUGAAACUGGCAGUCUUGAGUACAGUAGAGGUGGGCGGAAUGCGUGGUGUAGCGGUGAAAUGCUUAGAUAUCACGAAGAACUCCGAUUGCGAAGGCAGUUCACUGGACUGCAACUGACACUGAGGCUCGAAAGUGUGGGUAUCAAACAGGAUUAGAUACCCCAGUAGUC